This 253-nucleotide ribosomal RNA is filed under the name uncultured bacterium. RNAcentral describes it as "partial 16S ribosomal RNA". It matches the Rfam family "Bacterial small subunit ribosomal RNA", at positions 524 to 776 of the family's 1533-position model. The record is from RNAcentral.
UACGGAGGGGACUAGCGUUGUUCGGAAUUACUGGGCGUAAAGCGCACGUAGGCGGAUUUGUAAGUCAGGGGUGAAAUCCCGGGGCUCAACCUCGGAACUGCCUUUGAUACUGCAAAUCUCGAGUCCGGAAGAGGUGAGUGGAAUUCCUAGUGUAGAGGUGAAAUUCGUAGAUAUUAGGAAGAACACCAGUGGCGAAAGCGGCUCACUGGUCCGGUACUGACGCUGAGGUGCGAAAGCGUGGGGUGUAAACUGG